UACGUAGGGUGCAAGCGUUAAUCGGAAUUACUGGGCGUAAAGCGUGCGCAGGCGGCUUUGCAAGACAGAUGUGAAAUCCCCGGGCUUAACCUGGGAACUGCAUUUGUGACUGCAUGGCUGGAGUGCGGCAGAGGGGGAUGGAAUUCCGCGUGUAGCAGUGAAAUGCGUAGAUAUGCGGAGGAACACCGAUGGCGAAGGCAAUCCCCUGGGCCUGCACUGACGCUGAGACGCGAAAGCGUGGGGAGCAAACAGG
RNAcentral lists this ribosomal RNA (253 nucleotides) under uncultured bacterium. RNAcentral's name for it is "partial 16S ribosomal RNA". It matches the Rfam family "Bacterial small subunit ribosomal RNA", at positions 524 to 776 of the family's 1533-position model. The record is from RNAcentral.